UCCUCGGUAGUAAAGUUGUGGGUAUCCGCGCCUGUCAAGCGGGAGACCGGGGUUCAAUUCUCCGCCGGGGAG
Daphnia pulex (common water flea) is the source of this 72-nucleotide non-coding RNA. NCBI's taxonomy places the organism in Eukaryota, Metazoa, Arthropoda, Branchiopoda, Diplostraca, Daphniidae. The record is from Rfam.